AUUAUUUAGUACUAAAUAUUUUGUAAGCAGGCAUCACUGUUAAAUUUUUAUUUCAUGGCUGAAUUUUGUGCUUGUUGGAGAGAGAUCAUUGGCGCUGGAAGAAUAGGACGGGCAAGAAAAAUAUUAAUAAGAACUUGGAAUUUUGAUGUGCCUCCAGAUUUAAUGUAUGUUUAUUUUUAUAUUUAUUUUUAUAUAUUAUUAUUAAUAUGAAAAAUCCACAAAAACGUGGUGUAUAUUAAAUAAAUCCGUUAAAUAUGGUGAAUUAAAAAUCCAAGAUGAAUGUCGUCAUGGUCAUUUACAAUCAUGUGUGAUUUAUUAUAAUUCAUUUAAUUAUGAAAAAAAGUUUUUUAUUUUUAAGUAUUAUGCUAAG
Molecule: long non-coding RNA, 370 nt
Organism: Lucilia cuprina (Australian sheep blowfly)
Lineage: Eukaryota; Metazoa; Arthropoda; Insecta; Diptera; Calliphoridae
Exons: 3
Source: RefSeq, a predicted model, not a curated record